UCGUGGAUUGAUUUGUCUGGUUAAUUCCGAUAACGAACGAGACCUUAACCUACUAGUUAGUUGCGCAAGGAAUUUUCUUGUUGCAACUUCUUAGAGGGACAGCUGGCGUUUAGCCAGAGGAAGUUUGAGGCAAUAACA
This 138-nucleotide ribosomal RNA is filed under the name uncultured eukaryote. Its description in RNAcentral is "partial 18S ribosomal RNA". It matches the Rfam family "Eukaryotic small subunit ribosomal RNA", at positions 1299 to 1458 of the family's 1831-position model. The record is from RNAcentral.